AACUCCGGGAAUUGGUGGAAAAAUUGGAAUUUCCGGGCGGGAAUUCCUCAAUUUUGGGUGAAAAUUCUUCGAUUUUGGGUGGGACUUCUUCGAUUUCCGGUGGGAAUUCGGCAAUUUUGGGUGAAAAUUCAGUAAUUUCGGGUGGGAAUUCUUCGAUUUUGGGUGGGAAUUCCUCGAUUUUGGGUGGAAAGUCUGCGAUUUUGGGUGGGAAUUCCUCAAUUUUGGGUGGGAAUUCCUCAAUUUUGGGUGGGAAUUCCUCAAUUUUGAGUGGGAAUUCGAUUUCCGGCGGGAAUUCCUCGAUUUUGGGUGAAAAUUCCUCAAUUUCGAGUGGGAAUUCCCCUAUUUCAUGUGGGAAUUCCUCGAUUUUGGGUGAAAAUUCAGCAAUUUUGUGUGGGAAUUCCUCGAUUUCGGGUGGAAAUUCUGCGAUUUCCGGUGGGAAUUCCUCGAUUUCGGGUGAAAAUUCAGCAAUUUCGGGUGGAAAUUCGGCAGUUUUGUGCAGGAAUUCCCUGAUUUUGGGCGGGAAUUCCUCGAUUUCGGGUGGGAAUUCCUCAAUUUUGGGUGAAAAUUCAGCAAUUUUGGGUGGGAAUUCCUCGAUUUCCUGCGGGAAUUCCGCGAUUUUGGGUGAAAAUUCAGCAAUUUCGGGUGGAAAUUCGGCAGUUUUGUGCAGGAAUUCCUCGAUUUCGGGCGGGAAUUCCUCGAUUUUGUGUGAAAAUUUCUCGAUUUUGGGUGAAAACUCGGCAAUUUUGGGCGGGAACCCCUCGGUCCCGGCCUGCCCUCACCUGUGCCAGGUGUGUGGGCGGGGCCGGGACCCCCAAACCCCGAACCCGGAGGAGGACGAGGCACGCUCAGAACCCCCCGAAAUUCCGGCAGAUCCCGAAAAUCCCGACGGACCAGGGGAGGUGCCCCCUCAGCCGAGCCCGACCCCCGCUGGAGACCCCGGAGCUCCGGGGGAAUAAUUUGGGAAUGAGGGGAAAAGGACGGAAUUCCCAAAAUUCCCCAAAAUUCCCAGAAAACGCCCCAAAACCGCCCCCGUCUUCCCACAUAAAAUUAAAUCCCUUUGCUGACCCUCCCCCCCCGUCCUCCCGCUGCCUCCCGCGUGUGAUUCGGUGCUGAGGGGGGGAGGGGAGGGGAAGGGAUGAGGGGGGAGCCCCAAAACCGAGAGGAUUCACCCCAAAAUUUCCGCCGGGCAAAAUGGCGGCGCCCUCAACAAAGAUGGCGG
RNAcentral lists this long non-coding RNA (1219 nucleotides) under Cyanistes caeruleus (blue tit). RNAcentral's name for it is "lncRNA (ENSCCEG00000003339.1)". Lineage: Eukaryota; Metazoa; Chordata; Aves; Passeriformes; Paridae. The record is from RNAcentral.